UACGGAGGGUGCGAACGUUAAUCGGAAUCACUGGGCGUAAAGCGCGCGUAGGCGGUUCGUUAAGUGGGAUGUGAAAUCCCCGGGCUUAACCUGGGAAUCGCAUUUCAAACUGGCCGACUAGAGUACGGUAGAGGGAGGUAGAAUUUCCUGUGUAGCGGUGAAAUGCGUAGAUAUAGGAAGGAAUACCAGUGGCGAAGGCGGCCUCCUGGAUCGAUACUGACGCUGAGGCGCGAAAGCGUGGGGAGCAAACAGG
This 253-nucleotide ribosomal RNA is filed under the name uncultured bacterium. RNAcentral describes it as "partial 16S ribosomal RNA". It matches the Rfam family "Bacterial small subunit ribosomal RNA", at positions 524 to 776 of the family's 1533-position model. The record is from RNAcentral.